This is a non-coding RNA of Vicugna pacos (alpaca), 152 nucleotides long. NCBI's taxonomy places the organism in Eukaryota, Metazoa, Chordata, Mammalia, Artiodactyla, Camelidae. The record is from RefSeq and is a predicted model, not a curated record.
GGAGACAAGCCAGGAAGCAUGCAUCUUGCUCCACAGCCGCAGCCUGGCGGCCUCCACCCUGUUCCCUCUGGGCCAGGAGGGAAAGAACCUCCCCACUGGGGACCCUUCCAGAGAAGGAGGGCAAAGGGGGGAGGGCAGUGGGGGGAGGGUGU